This is a non-coding RNA of Kogia breviceps (pygmy sperm whale), 1666 nucleotides long. The record is from RefSeq and is a predicted model, not a curated record. Lineage: Eukaryota; Metazoa; Chordata; Mammalia; Artiodactyla; Physeteridae.
ACUGGUUGUACCUUUAUUAUUUUUACCUCGUUCACUAAUAGUUCCGUGAUGCAAGGUUACCAUACACAGUUAGAUAAUGUCUGCAUUGCACAUCUAAGGCUAUACAGCAAAAGAACCAGAAUUAGUACAAAUACAAGAACUAUAUUUACAUUCUGUAUACUCAGGCUCCGCACAUCAGAUAAUAUUUACAUAAUAAAACAUGAAAAUGAGAAUCGGAAAUUAAUCAUGUACAUUGUUGCUAAAUGUGCUCAACUCCUUCCCUGGGGAGAGAUCAGGUUGCAAAGUCUUGGUUCAAAAAGGCCACUUAUGCUUCAUGGGUUGUGUGCAUGAGGAUGGUGACAAGGGACUGGAAGUCUCACCGGACAAGUACGUCAGAGCCACAAAGUCUAAGACGACUCAUGAGAAGGCUGAUGGAUUCCUCAGGUGAACGGAUGCCAGAAUACAGAGCAUGAAAAAAAUUAACUUGAAGACACGAAAACAACACACGGCGGCCAGGGUUUGGCAAGAGACCAACCUCAACUCGGACGUUCCGUCUGAGCACGAGCCGUUUUGGCUGAGUUUUUAAUGCGAAAUCUGUAUCAACUCUAACUUCUCCCUUUAAAUGACUAGAGGCGUUCCUAAGAUUUUACGGGGCUCGAACACAGGUUUCAUAAAUGGCCUUUUGGAACACAACAGCAGCAGAUCACCUCUCAGCUGAUACCUCCGUUUACUAAGGAAGCACAGAUCAGUACAUUCCUGCUACACCGUCACGGUCUGGCCACACACGUGGGUGAGUCAGCACUGGCCACAGUGGACAGCUGCAGUGCACACGAGUUAGAGUCCUAUUUAAAAUACAUUCAGCAAACCUUCCGAGAGCAGCAGCAAAAUUAGUCUCUUUCUUUUUAAAGAGCAGGUUAACAAUCACAUUUUGAAAAGGGCACCAAAAGGUAAAACGAAGGACCCAAGUCAAACGAGAAACGAACAAGCCCUGAUACUGUCCAGGAGAACCCUGGUGGAACCCAGACGAGGGAGUGCCAAGUACCAGCAGGUGCUACACGCUAGGUCAUCCUUGCUUUUCCAGUUCAAUGUGCAAUUAAUCACAGCUAUAUAAAUAUACAAAUACCUUACAAAAUUAAAUAUCCCUGUAAAUUAGACAACAAGCAGCAGACAACAAAGUCUUUGCUUUGAUAUAUGUGUCAGGAGAAGUCAUUUUACUUUAGGUACCAAAAGAUCUUCCACAAUGGCUUAACUGAUUCCUUCAUCUUACGAGAGCUGAAAAAUCUCAUCCGAGAUACGAGUAGUAGUAGUUGGGAAAAAUCAUUUCCCUUGACUUCCCUCACAUUAUCGAAACGUAUUGGAAUCCAAGUGCUCAUCCAGCUGCCAAAAGCAGCCCUUCCCUGCGCUCGCGGCUGCGUGCGUGGGCUGGUGGACCCCGCAGAGCCCGGCCUGAGAGCUGAGUGACCCCCAGGCAGGCGCGGAGACAGGAGGGUGUGAGCACCGGUCUGGUGGAAGCUGUGAGGCCGUCUUUUGCUCUGGCAGGAGAAAGGAGGAUUGGGGAGGGAGGGGAGGAGAUGGUUACUCCAGCACUCAUUUCCCCGAAAUUUGUAUAAGUGUUCUUUCUUGCUUUAUUAUUAUUAAUAUUUGCUUGUUUAAAGGUGUGCUUCAAGAAAAAAAAAAAAAAAGGAAA